Non-coding RNA from Coturnix japonica (Japanese quail), 585 nucleotides. The record is from RefSeq and is a predicted model, not a curated record. Lineage: Eukaryota; Metazoa; Chordata; Aves; Galliformes; Phasianidae.
AUCAACAAGAACAUAGACUAGAUUAACUACAUAUAAAUUAUACAAAAGUGCAAUUAGGGGAAUGGCAGAAUAGCUAGAUGCCACGCACCAGAAAAGAAAUGAUCUAGCAGGAGAGAAAUCCUGCUAGAUUAAAGAAAAGGGGGGAAUGAACAGUGAUGCAGGAAACUUAAAGGUAGUUUAUAGAAACAAGUAAAGGAAACUUAAAGGUAACAAGUAAAAGAAACAAGGGGCCUGGGAGAGCAGGGAGGAUGCAGAUAAGGACUGAGACCUCACGGACGACCAGAAGAGGAGUUGCAUUCCCCCUGAUAAGAACAAGAGGGGGUCAGCAUGCUAAAGACAAGAGGGGGUCUGUAUGCUAAAGAGCUAUUGAAUAUGUACCAGAAUUCCUAGAACUAUUGACUAUGUAUUAGAAGUCUAAGAAAUCAUUGAAUAUGUAUCAGAAUUCUGAGAAAUCAUUGACUAUGUAUUAAGUGUACCUAUAUUUGUGUCAUGAUUUUACAAGUCGGUGUGCAGGUUUGGAGGAGCUAUCCCCCUUGCACCCGGCGCUGCACAACGCUGGAAUAAACACACCUGCUUUAUAACCCA